GAUGUGACACAGCAGCAAUAAGCAGGCUGUUCAAGCCACAUGGCACUGCUCUAGAGGCCAGACAAAGCCCAGUCUUCACUGAGAAGGAAACUUGUCACACUUGUCUAAACAGGAACUAUCCAUCCCAUCCCUAACGUUCUUGCGACACACCAUGGCAAGAGUAACAGCGUUUAUCGACCUUGCUUUCCCUUCUGCUAAGCCAAUCGCGAUUACCCAGUGGGGUGCUCCCUUUCCCCGACAGACUGCGGCUGCUCCCAGGGCGUUUAUCAGCAGCCACAGGCGGCUCUAUGAAGCGCAGCGUGUCCUCGGACUGCAGCUCACAGCGUGUCCCGGGGCUGCGGGACCCACAUCUCCCACCAUGCCUGGGCAGGUGCUGAUGCGGUGUUCCUUGUUGUUGUGGGUGGCAGCGCAGCAUGAGCUAGACGUGAGACGCGGCGGGGUGCACUUGUGAUGGCCGAGGCGUCUUCGCCUUCCUGGGGCACAAAUUUCUCUCUAGGAGCUGCUGAUAAAUACAAGUUGGAUAGACUUUCCCCAGUACUUUUGGAGCUGGCGAGGAAACGUUUGAAAUUUGCUUUCCUAAUUUUUCCAUUCAUUACUAUCUACUAAUUUAUCUUACAGAUUUAACACUGGACCCUUCUGCUAUUCUUUAUCUUUUGCAUUUCAGCUGCUGAAAGAUGUUUUUUUCUUCUUCAGCUGGUCACUUUUCCUGUCACUUUCUGUAGUGACACCACGACUGCAAUUUCUCAGCCUCAUGCUGCUUAGUUUUGACCGUGGUGUUUCUAAGGCUCAUUUGAGGCAAAAUACUUUGAUAUACACCAAAAUAAUACAUGGUUAUUAUGACAGAGUUCAAAAGUGUGAAUGCCUCUUUGGUGUGUUCUUAAAUGCUUACACUUUUUGGCUUCCAGGCUGUAUUUGGAAGUAGGGUUUGCUUUAAGUGUAUGUGAUAGGAGAGGAGCACCAUAGGCCACACAGUGCCAGUGACAGGCUGGCCAUGGAAAAGGCUGGCAAGAGAAACCCUGGUCCCCAGGAAUCACUCGAGCACAUGUCCAGCACAAAAUGCCUCUUGAAAAUAGUUCACUGCUAAGCAAUUCCUCUUUUAAAAGGGGCAAUAUGCAGGGUGUCAUAUGCCUACUAACUGAUAUGCCUGUCCUAUAACACAUCUCCCCCUAUUUAAAUUUAGUUUAAACUUUAACAAAGCUUUAAUUCUGGAGUGACUAUUUUGUAUCAUUUAGCUUCUGGACUAUUGAUGGAAUCCUGUAUUGGAGCUAAACUUCAGCAGUUCUAAACCAUAUUAUUUUUUUCUAGCAGUUCUUAGUGUGUCUGUAUUCUGGGAUUUUGUGCUGUGUUUGAAAUACUCUCUAAGUGAUUAUAAUGGGAUAUAAACAAUAUUUUGAGUUCAGUAUAUAUUUUUAUAAGAACUAAUUAUAUAUCACUUUUACUUAGUAUCCAUAAUGUCUGUUACAUGCCAGUCAUGGGUUGGAGACAGAAUCAAUGACUUGAUCAUCAGACAAAACAGCCUCCUUGAUUGUUUGGAGUUCACUUACACAGCUGGUUCAAAACUCUCACGUCUAGAGAAUUCAUUGGUUGAGGUUUUAGCACUGCCCAGCUCCCUGACCAGUGAUAUGUCUGCUUUCUGGAUUGAACAUGACUGGUCCCUGCUUGGGUCCAAAUCCAACUCAUCCCUGCUCCAUCCAGUGACUCAUUUUACUUCUAGGAUGGUUGAGUUUGGGAAUCUGAUAUGGCCAAAUUUAUUUGGCAGCUUUAAACUAGCUGCCAUGGUGACAAUGUCAAAUAAGGAGGGGGGGAAAACCUUAAAGAGAUAACUGCAGAUGCCAUACGAAAUAAAGAAUAUGAAGAAGCCUCAAAGCACUGCAAGGUAAUUCUUUCAUUACUUGGAAAGCAGUAUUUUUUGCACAUUUUGUUUGUUACUCCUACCCCUACAGCUGUAAAGUAAUAUAGAGUGUGGAAUACUUUAUUGACAUAAUGGUUGAAAUUUGAUUUUCAGUUUUCAUUUUGAUAACUUCAUUGAUCAUUCAUGUUAGUUGAACACAGAUGAACUUUUAUUCCCAUUCUUUUUGCAUUUGAUUAUAUGUGCUGAUAAGAAUAUGAAGUGUAGAAGGCUCAUAUUAAAAUCCGUUUCUGAUCUAGACCUCAGAGAGGAGCUUUGAUUGCCAAGCUCCAGGUAUGGUUAUAGACAGAACAGUUUACACAUGUAACAUUUUCUGUCAGGAAAAGCUGAAUUUACUAUUUUUUUCCAAAUAAUUACGUAACCUCUACUAUUACCUGUGUUAUAAAUUGUUGUGACUAAAUCAAGGAGUCAAUUUAAAUGAUUAUUCAUGAAAAUCAAUUUUAUUAAUUCAGCAAGUGGUGAGCAAGCAAAAAACAGCACUGGGCGAUGGCUGGGAAGCCUCUGCUUCACCAAUGGUAUGCGUGCCUUAGCUUGAGGAAGUUCCCCCUUAUAUACAGUUCCUGUAUGUGUCUUCAUUGCUUCUUCCUGGGUUGCAUCUGAGCUUGCGCCACCUGUUGCUAGGGGGUUGUCCUCUGCUUCCUGGUGGUCAUGAGGUGAAGGCUUGUAGUCUUGGUCUGUGCACAGACCUUGGUCCUAUACCAGUUAUGCAACUUCUAAUAAAAAAAUGUUCUAAUUCUUGUUUGUACAGCCAGAUAUUAUUGUUAUAAAUAAAAAAACCCAGUGUUCAAAUUAUAUGUUCUUGUUCCAAUCCCAGUUUAGGUCCCUGGUUAAGGGGUUUGGUGUUGUAAACCCCAAAAGGAUUCAUUGUUAGGAAGUUCUUACUUGUUUUAUCAUUGCAUUUGUACCCCCACCCCUUAUGCUCUUCCAACCUGUCAGGUAAUUCAGCCGCUGCUACCCAGGAUGAACUUCCGCAUUUCCCAUAAAGACUUGCACACUGGUGCAUAUUAAAAUCGUAUUACCACCUGGGAGCGAAGACAGCCCUGGACAAUGAGCCACUCUUGAGGAACAUCUGGAGGACCACACUGUGGAGGCAGCAGGAACCUGGGGAGACUGGGUGCGCCAAUGUCAGUCCGGCAAGCUCGUCGCCAUGACCUGGCAGGACUUGAGAGGGAAGACACCACUGGACUUUUGAGCCUAAACAGAGUUUCUGGGUGAUCCCAGUGAGGAUAGAGACUCCAGUCCUGCCGACAGUGGAUGAUGACAGGCCUGUGUGGUCUUCCUCCUACACGUCGACCACAGGGAGCAGUGGCAGCAGCGCGCGCCCUGAGCUCCCACCUCUAGGCUUAGUUCUCUCUAAAAAAGGCUUGUUAAAGGGAGCAGAAGGUCUCCUGGCCCUUUAAUUUACGUCGUAAAUUAAAAUUGUAAACCAAAUUUACAAAUUAUGGUUUGGCCUUUCUGAAGUUUCAGCUCUUACAUUGUAUUAAGCAAACAGUUUUAACAAUCAUAUUAUAUUAAACAAUCAUGUUUUAUUAAAUUUGAUUAACAAACAAUAGCAAUCUAUUACACCUGAUUGAAUAGUUCACAAAACUGUAAUGGCAAAACUCAGGCCAUAGAUCUGUAAGAUGCAUUUCACUCAUUUUUUUUCACUUAAAAUUGUGUUUUUUAGGCUGUCUUGAAGGAAGACAAAAAUAUCUACAAUUCUUGGUUAUUCAUUGGCCUGACAGCUGUUGGUUUAGAGCAAUCAGACCAGGCCAAGGGAGAAUAUAAGAAGGCUAUUGAUCUUGAACCAAACCAAUUACUGUCAGUUAUAGUCCAGAUCCACUUUUUCUCUCCCUGAAAAGUGUAAAUAUGGAGUUGAAUACAGGAACAAAGCAGAGUUGAGACUUGAAUCAUGUUUUCUUGAGGCCCUUAUUUCUGUGGUAGCUUUGGGAAAUCUGAGGCUUGUAUUAUUUUUGUGUCCAAUGUAAUACCACAAUGAGGUUUAGUUUCAGUGUAUUUAAGUUUGUAUUUAAUAUUUAAGCUAGAUAGCAGAGAAGUUUAUAAGGGAAAACAUGAACUGAAACAAAUACAGGCAAUUUGUCCAUGUCUAGAUAUUUCUUUGCUUAUAGCUGAAGAAACACUUGACAAUGCUUCUCUGCUUUAGCUAGUUUAUCUAGUUCAUCUUGUUUGUCUUAUCUUAUUUUUCCAGCUUUCAGCAUGAAGUGGAUGGCUACUGAAUUUUGCUGUUAAUGUAUUUGAAUAUAUUUAAAAUGUAUUUAAAAUGUUAAAUGUAUUUAAAAACAAUACAUUUAAAAUAGCCAUAUGCUGGUGCAUGACAGCCUGUUGCAGUAUGUAGUUACCACAUACUUGAGGUGUCUUCUAGAGAUUUGUGGCACAUAAGGUUGCAUAUUAAGUCAGUCUCUCAUAGCAAAAAUCUCUAUUUUUCUAAGGUUCCUAAUAUUUUCAAUAUAAAUACUUUUUUUAAGUGUAAUUGUUCCUUCCUGAUUUGACGGUGGCUGAUACUGGAAUUGCUCUGUUUUUGCAUUUAGCUUCUGCUUUUUUGUUACUAUACAAAUGUUAGAAAUUAAGUGUCUUUCCUUUUGUUCCUUCUCACCCAUAGAAUUUUUUCGCCAUUAGUUGCAGGGAAACCUGACUGCUGGUACUUAUUGCAUGCUUGAGAAACACAAAGAGUUUGGCGGGGCCCAUGGGGAAGGGGGGCAGGAAAAAGGGAGGGCGGGGGCAGGCGGGGGCUGGCUGGUUUCUUCAGCUGCAGAAGACAUGCUCAGAGCUGUGGUUGCUUAAAGAAAGGAACUCGCCAUAACCCAGAGCUGCUGCUUCUUCUGCUCUUCGUCUGUAAGUCCCUGCACCUGCCAGCUACUGCCGCGGAACUGCUGAUACACCUCAUCCACCGGCCCGGCAUCUCUGCUCAUUCCUGUCAUUCCAGCCCGCCGUUACGCCGAGCCCUGCAGGAGCACCGGGACCGCCCGCCCGAGGGGGUUGGUGAAACAAAGCUUCUCUUCCAUCCCUUCCCGUCUUGGCCGAAAAGGCUGUCACGGGGUCCCUGGUUCUGUUUUGUUGUUAACGCUGUAGUUAUCAUUGUUUGUUGUUAUACAUACUAGUAAAAAACUGUUAUUCCUAUCCUCAGA
Molecule: long non-coding RNA, 5034 nt
Organism: Parus major (Great Tit)
Lineage: Eukaryota; Metazoa; Chordata; Aves; Passeriformes; Paridae
Exons: 2
Source: RefSeq, a predicted model, not a curated record